GCCAGCUGAUCAGCCAUGCCGCGUGUGUGAAGAAGGCUUAUGGUUGUAAAGCACUUUAAGCGAGGAGGAGGCUACUUUAGUUAAUACCUAGAGAUAGUGGACGUACUCGCAGAAUAAGCACCGGCUAACUCUGUGCCAGCAGCCGCGGUAAUACAGAGGGUGCAAGCGUUAAUCGGAUUUACUGGGCGUAAAGCGCGCGUAGGCGGCUAAUUAAGUCAAAUGUGAAAUCCCCGAGCUUAACUUGGGAAUUGCAUUCGAUACUGGUUAGCUAGAGUGUGGGAGAGGAUGGUAGAAUUCCAGGUGUAGCGGUGAAAUGCGUAGAGAUCUGGAGGAAUACCGAUGGCGAAGGCAGCCAUCUGGCCUAACACUGACGCUGAGGUGCGAAAGCAUGGGGAGCAAACAGGAUUAGAUACCCUGGUAGUCCAUGCCGUAAACGAUGUCUACUAGCC
Molecule: ribosomal RNA, 449 nt
Filed under: uncultured bacterium
Lineage: Bacteria
Description: bacterial SSU rRNA
Rfam family: Bacterial small subunit ribosomal RNA
Source: RNAcentral